RNAcentral lists this ribosomal RNA (253 nucleotides) under uncultured bacterium. Its description in RNAcentral is "partial 16S ribosomal RNA". It matches the Rfam family "Bacterial small subunit ribosomal RNA", at positions 524 to 776 of the family's 1533-position model. The record is from RNAcentral.
UACAGAGGUCCCAAGCGUUGUUCGGAUUCACUGGGCGUAAAGGGUGCGUAGGCGGUCGGGUAAGUCUGAUGUGAAAUCUCGGAGCUUAACUCCGAAAUUGCAUUGGAUACUAUCAGGCUAGAGGGUUGGAGGGGGGACUGGAAUUCUCGGUGUAGCAGUGAAAUGCGUAGAUAUCGAGAGGAACACCAGUGGCGAAGGCGAGUCCCUGGACAACUCCUGACGCUGAGGCACGAAAGCUAGGGGAGCAAACAGG